Molecule: RNA transcript, 546 nt
Organism: Octodon degus (degu)
Lineage: Eukaryota; Metazoa; Chordata; Mammalia; Rodentia; Octodontidae
Gene name: ubiquitin-conjugating enzyme E2 E3 pseudogene
Exons: 2
Source: RefSeq, a predicted model, not a curated record
AUGCCCCCUCCACCACUGAACGAUGCUGAGAACUGCAAAACCAGAGGAAGAGCUGUGUGUUGCGUCGUCCUUGCUGGCAAGGUCGUGCGCGACAAGUGGUGGCCCGUACGGGGAACGUCGUCUCAAGCCAGCAGCUCAGAACUUUCGGCGGUCAGGGGGGUGCACCGUGCUGGGCCUAAAGGAGAUAACAUUUAUGAAUGGAGAUCAACUAUACUUGGGCCACCAGGUUCUGUAUAUGAAGGUGGUGUGUUUUUUCUGGAUAUCACAUUUUCAUCAGAUUAUCCAUUUAAACCACCAAAGGUUACUUUCCGUACCAGAAUCUAUCACUGCAACAUCAACAGUCAGGGAGUCAUCUGUCUGGACAUCCUUAAAGACAACUGGAGUCCUGCUUUGACUAUUUCAAAGGUUUUGCUGUCUAUUUGUUCCCUUUUGACAGACUGCAACCCUGCGGAUCCUCUGGUUGGAAGCAUAGCCACUCAGUAUUUGACCAACAGAGCAGAACAUGACAGGAUAGCCAGACAGUGGACCAAGAGAUACGCAACAUAA